UCGUAAACCCUCGCAACCCUGCCUCCAAAGCUCACCGUCGAUCGUCGCCCCCCACUCACUCUCUUCACUCUCGCCAUUGACCCUCUCACUGUCGCUCUCGCCAUUGACCCUCUCACUCUCACCAUUGACCCUUUCAUACAGGAAGAAACCCUCUCAAUCUCGCUAGUGACCGUCGUCGCCCCCCACUCACCAGUCACCCGCACUCACGACUCUCCACAUUGCUGCACCACUGACCGUCGCUCCUCUUCGCCAUCUUGCACUGAUUGUCGCUGCGCUGCCCUCACCAUCGUCGCUGCUGCCGCUCUCACCAUCGUCAUCUCCGUGCUUCUCAUCAUCGUCUUCUCUGUGCUCACAUCAUUGAAUAGGAGCAAAAUUUGGUGGCUGCCAUGAGCUUUAGAUUGUUUUGAUCACUCUCUCUCUGGCUCUUUGAUCUCAACAGGAAAUGCAGCGUUUGAGUAGGCACACCCGUCUCAAUAAACUUGCUCAUUCUGGGUAACAAUGAAGAUUAAGCAAUAAUGAAGAUUAAGCUAAUUAUUAUUGUGGUUUAUUGGCUAAGAUAGAUUGCUAUUUAGAAUCUUUACAUGUAUGGUUGACUAAUGAUUUUUAUUAGAAGAUACUUUUAUUGGCUAAGUGAUAUUAUGGUUUUGAUAUGGUUAUGCUUACUUUAGUUUGAGAUGUAUAAAUUUUUACAGUUAACUU
Non-coding RNA from Arachis ipaensis, 699 nucleotides. NCBI's taxonomy places the organism in Eukaryota, Viridiplantae, Streptophyta, Magnoliopsida, Fabales, Fabaceae. The record is from RefSeq and is a predicted model, not a curated record.